Molecule: transfer RNA, 87 nt
Filed under: Ghiorsea sp.
Lineage: Bacteria; Pseudomonadati; Pseudomonadota; Candidatius Mariprofundia; Mariprofundales
Description: tRNA-Leu
Rfam family: tRNA
About the family: Transfer RNA (tRNA) molecules are approximately 80 nucleotides in length. Their secondary structure includes four short double-helical elements and three loops (D, anti-codon, and T loops). Further hydrogen bonds mediate the characteristic L-shaped molecular structure. tRNAs have two regions of fundamental functional importance: the anti-codon, which is responsible for specific mRNA codon recognition, and the 3' end, to which the tRNAs corresponding amino acid is attached (by aminoacyl-tRNA synthetases). tRNAs cope with the degeneracy of the genetic code in two manners: having more than one tRNA (with a specific anti-codon) for a particular amino acid; and 'wobble' base-pairing, i.e. permitting non-standard base-pairing at the 3rd anti-codon position.
Source: RNAcentral
GCCGGGAUGGCGGAACUGGUAGACGCAGGGGACUUAAAAUCCCCCGGUGGUAACACUGUGCCGGUUCGACUCCGGCUCUCGGUACCA